GACGAACGCUGGCGGCGUGCUUAACACAUGCAAGUCGAACGGAAAGGCCCUGCUUUUGUGGGGUGCUCGAGUGGCGAACGGGUGAGUAACACGUGAGUAACCUGCCCUUGACUUUGGGAUAACUUCAGGAGACUGGGGCUAAUACCGGAUAGGAGCUCCUGCUGCAUGGUGGGGGUUGGAAAGUUUCGGCGGUUGGGGAUGGACUCGCGGCUUAUCAGCUUGUUGGUGGGGUAGUGGCUUACCAAGGCUUUGACGGGUAGCCGGCCUGAGAGGGUGACCGGCCACAUUGGGAAUGAGAUACGGCCCAGACUCCUACGGGAGGCAGCAGUGGGGAAUAUUGCACAAUGGGCGGAAGACUGAUGCAGCAACGCCGCGUGCGGGAUGACGGCCUUCGGGUUGUAAACCGCUUUCGCCUGUGACGAAGCGUGAGUGACGGUAAUGGGUAAAGAAGCACCGGCUAACUACGUG
RNAcentral lists this ribosomal RNA (468 nucleotides) under uncultured bacterium. Its description in RNAcentral is "partial 16S ribosomal RNA". It matches the Rfam family "Bacterial small subunit ribosomal RNA", at positions 28 to 507 of the family's 1533-position model. The record is from RNAcentral.